This is a long non-coding RNA of Carassius auratus (goldfish), 407 nucleotides long. RefSeq lists it as uncharacterized. The transcript is spliced from 5 exons. The record is from RefSeq and is a predicted model, not a curated record. NCBI's taxonomy places the organism in Eukaryota, Metazoa, Chordata, Actinopteri, Cypriniformes, Cyprinidae.
GUAAGUUCAUCAUUGUUUCGGAGGUCAAACGACAGCUCAACAGGUGCAAUGAGAGAAAGCAACAAAACAUUUACACAGAAGCUGACGGUGAGGAAAACAACAUACAAAGCGAACAGUAAUCGGUCAAUGACCUCCCCCAGUUGAAUCCACUCCUCUGAGUUCUGAUCAGUGGAGAAAUGCUCGUCCACUUUCUGGCGAAUGUGAACAGGAAAUCGUGCCUUUGGUGUUUUCUGCUGGCAGAAAUUAUUAAAUGUAUUAAUGUGAUCUAAAGACUGGCCACCAUCAGCGCUAAACACAGAGAGAAAAACACAUCUGUAGGGAGAGAGAGAAUAACAUCGUUCAUGAGGAGGAGGAAGACGGUGUAGCCUAAGAUCAAGGUCAUUUUAAAGGCAGAGCGAUCCAUUUUC